This 446-nucleotide ribosomal RNA is filed under the name uncultured Cellulomonas sp. Its description in RNAcentral is "bacterial SSU rRNA". It matches the Rfam family "Bacterial small subunit ribosomal RNA", at positions 337 to 795 of the family's 1533-position model. Lineage: Bacteria; Bacillati; Actinomycetota; Actinomycetes; Micrococcales; Cellulomonadaceae. The record is from RNAcentral.
GCCUACGGGUGGCAGCAGUGGGGAAUAUUGCACAAUGGGCGCAAGCCUGAUGCAGCGACGCCGCGUGCGGGAUGACGGCCUUCGGGUUGUAAACCGCUUUCAGCAGGGAAGAAGCGCAAGUGACGGUACCUGCAGAAGAAGCGCCGGCUAACUACGUGCCAGCAGCCGCGGUAAUACGUAGGGCGCAAGCGUUGUCCGGAAUUAUUGGGCGUAAAGAGCUCGUAGGCGGUCUGUCGCGUCUGCUGUGAAAUCCUCAGGCUCAACCUGGGGCUUGCAGUGGGUACGGGCAGACUAGAGUGCGGUAGGGGUGACUGGAAUUCCUGGUGUAGCGGUGGAAUGCGCAGAUAUCAGGAGGAACACCGAUGGCGAAGGCAGGUCACUGGGCCGCAACUGACGCUGAGGAGCGAAAGCAUGGGGAGCGAACAGGAUUAGAUACCCGAGUAGUC